Molecule: non-coding RNA, 109 nt
Organism: Actinobacteria bacterium 13_1_20CM_3_71_11
Lineage: Bacteria; Bacillati; Actinomycetota
Source: Rfam
UCCCGCCGCCGUACCGCGAGAUCUCCAGCCGCUCGCGCUCCUGACGCCCCUUCCCCGGCGCCAGGUGAGCGACGCGGAUGGGGAUCUGACGGUACGGCGGCGGUGACGA